This 97-nucleotide microRNA precursor is filed under the name Equus asinus (donkey). RNAcentral's name for it is "mir-544 microRNA precursor family". It matches the Rfam family "mir-544 microRNA precursor family". The record is from Rfam by way of RNAcentral. RNAcentral also lists the same sequence under 1 other name. Lineage: Eukaryota; Metazoa; Chordata; Mammalia; Perissodactyla; Equidae.
AUCACAUAGGAUCUUGUUAAAAUGCAGAUUCUGAUUCAGUAGGUCUGGGCUGCAGCCCCCGAUUCUGCAUUUCUGACAAGAUCCCAGGUGAUGCAUC